GUGUCAGCAGCCGCGGUAAUACGUACUGCGCGAACGUUAUUCGGAAUCACUGGGCUUAAAGGGUGCGCAGGCGGCUUGUCAAGCCCGUGGUGAAAGGUCCCGGCCUAACCGGGGACGUGCUUCGGGGACUGACGAGCUUGGGCGAGCUAGGGGUCUGUGGAACUCCCGGUGGAGCGGUGAAAUGUGUUGAGAUCGGGAGGAACGCCGGUGGCGAAAGCGACAGACUGGGGCUUGGCCGACGCUCAUGCACGAAAGCCAGGGGAGCGAACGGGAUUAGAUACCCCCGUAGUCC
RNAcentral lists this ribosomal RNA (292 nucleotides) under uncultured bacterium. RNAcentral describes it as "partial 16S ribosomal RNA". It matches the Rfam family "Bacterial small subunit ribosomal RNA", at positions 505 to 796 of the family's 1533-position model. The record is from RNAcentral.